UGUGGGAGCUGGCUUGCCUGCGAUGACGGCGGCACAUUCAACAUCAAUGCGUCAGUUAAACCGCUAUCGCAGGCAAGCCAGCUCCCACA
Molecule: unclassified non-coding RNA, 89 nt
Filed under: Pseudomonas cedrina
Lineage: Bacteria; Pseudomonadati; Pseudomonadota; Gammaproteobacteria; Pseudomonadales; Pseudomonadaceae
Source: RNAcentral